GACGAAGGGGGCUAGCGUUGUUCGGAAUUACUGGGCGUAAAGCGCGUGUAGGCGGUUGUCCAAGUCAGGUGUGAAAGCCUUGAGCUCAACUCAAGAAAUGCACUUGAUACUGGAUGACUAGAGGACCGGAGAGGAUAGUGGAAUUCCCAGUGUAGUGGUGAAAUACGUAGAGAUUGGGAAGAACACCAGUGGCGAAGGCGGCUAUCUGGACGGUUACUGACGCUAAGACGCGAAAGCGUGGGGAGCAAACAGG
Molecule: ribosomal RNA, 253 nt
Filed under: uncultured bacterium
Lineage: Bacteria
Description: partial 16S ribosomal RNA
Rfam family: Bacterial small subunit ribosomal RNA
Source: RNAcentral